RNAcentral lists this ribosomal RNA (389 nucleotides) under Gymnodiniales sp. RNAcentral's name for it is "partial small subunit ribosomal RNA". It matches the Rfam family "Eukaryotic small subunit ribosomal RNA", at positions 582 to 975 of the family's 1831-position model. The record is from RNAcentral. Lineage: Eukaryota; Dinophyceae; Gymnodiniales.
AUUCCAGCUCCAAUAGCGUAUAUUAAAGUUGUUGCGGUUAAAAAGCUCGUAGUUGGAUUUCUGCUGAGGACGACUGGUCCGCCCCCUGGGUGAGCAUCUGGUUCGGCCUGGGCAUCUUCUUGGGGAACGUAUCUGCACUUGAUUGUGUGGUGCGGUAUCCAGGACUUUUACUUUGAGGAAAUUAGAGUGUUUCAAGCAGGCCCGCGCCUUGAAUACAUUAGCAUGGAAUAAUAAGAUAGGACCUCGGUUCUAUUUUGUUGGUUUCUAGAGCUGAGGUAAUGAUUAAUAGGGAUAGUUGGGGGCACUCGUAUUCCGCCGAGAGGGGUGAAAUUCUCAGACCAGCGGAAGACGAACCACUGCGAAAGCAUUUGCCAGGGAUGUUUUCAUUG